RNAcentral lists this ribosomal RNA (293 nucleotides) under Bacillus cereus. RNAcentral's name for it is "partial 16S ribosomal RNA". It matches the Rfam family "Bacterial small subunit ribosomal RNA", at positions 166 to 453 of the family's 1533-position model. Lineage: Bacteria; Bacillati; Bacillota; Bacilli; Caryophanales; Bacillaceae. The record is from RNAcentral.
AUACCGGAUAACGUUUUGAACCGGAUGGGUGGAAAUUGAAAGGCGGCUUCGGCUGUCACUUAUGGAUGGACCCGCGUCGCAUUAGCUAGUUGGUGAGGUAACGGCUCACCAAGGCAACGAUGCGUAGCCGACCUGAGAGGGUGAUCGGCCACACUGGGACUGAGACACGGCCCAGACUCCUACGGGAGGCAGCAGUAGGGAAUCUUCCGCAAUGGACGAAAGUCUGACGGAGCAACGCCGCGUGAGUGAUGAAGGCUUUCGGGUCGAAAACUCUGUUGUUAGGGAAGAAAAGU